GCCGGAGUGGCGGAACAGGCAGACGCAAGGGACUUAAAAUCCCUCGAUCUUUAAUAAGAUCGUACCGGUUCAAGUCCGGUCUCCGGCACCA
Molecule: transfer RNA, 91 nt
Filed under: Bacillota bacterium
Lineage: Bacteria; Bacillati; Bacillota
Description: Firmicutes bacterium (anaerobic digester metagenome) tRNA-Leu
Rfam family: tRNA
About the family: Transfer RNA (tRNA) molecules are approximately 80 nucleotides in length. Their secondary structure includes four short double-helical elements and three loops (D, anti-codon, and T loops).
Source: RNAcentral